GCCUGGGUGGCUCAGUCGGUUGAGCGUUUGACUUUGGCUCAGGUCAUGAUCUCACAGUUUGUGGGUUCAAGCCCCGCAUCUGGCU
RNAcentral lists this transfer RNA (85 nucleotides) under Felis catus (domestic cat). It matches the Rfam family "tRNA". From Rfam's summary of the family: Transfer RNA (tRNA) molecules are approximately 80 nucleotides in length. Their secondary structure includes four short double-helical elements and three loops (D, anti-codon, and T loops). Further hydrogen bonds mediate the characteristic L-shaped molecular structure. tRNAs have two regions of fundamental functional importance: the anti-codon, which is responsible for specific mRNA codon recognition, and the 3' end, to which the tRNAs corresponding amino acid is attached (by aminoacyl-tRNA synthetases). tRNAs cope with the degeneracy of the genetic code in two manners: having more than one tRNA (with a specific anti-codon) for a particular amino acid; and 'wobble' base-pairing, i.e. permitting non-standard base-pairing at the 3rd anti-codon position. RNAcentral also lists the same sequence under 2 other names. The record is from Rfam by way of RNAcentral. Lineage: Eukaryota; Metazoa; Chordata; Mammalia; Carnivora; Felidae.